CCGGGCCUACGUGACAGGCCGCGUGUUGGUCAUGGCGUCCGGUGAGGGUGGCGCCAGGCUCGCCCCCGUGGAGCCGCAGAAAAGGCUAGCGUCCGACGCCGAGCUGAUGGAGAGUCCGGACGCAGCCUCUGAGCCAACAGCCCCGAACUGACCUCCUCCGGGCUGCCUACUCCCUCUCCCUUCCUCACGUUCCUUUGCGGAACAUACUGUGGGAAACUCGAAAAACAGAAACCGACUACCCGGAUCCUGGGAACGUCGGACUGGAGCGGUAAAAUCCGCCCAGCUUGCCCUGAGUGGCUCAGGGUCCGGGCCCACCCCUUUGUGGGGCUCUCAUUGGCCUAAGCAGAACCGUAGGGGGUGGGGCCUCACCUGUCGCACCGGGCUUCUUAUUGGCCUAAGGGUGUGGUUCUCCCUGUCUAAGCACUCCCAUUGGCUGAGCUCGACCGUUGGGGUGGGGCCGCGCCAGAGCGAAAACAACAAAGGGCGGCGGGCAACGGGGCGGGUAGCAGUUGUUAGAGUCUUGGUGCGCUCCUCAGCUGAGGCGUUCUUGCCUCCCGCCCGCCCUACUCCAGAUGAAGUGUGAGCACUGCACGCGGAAGGAAUGUAAUAAAAAGACAAAAACCGAUGAUGGAGAGAACGUGUCACCUGAUGUGCCCAGUCUGGCCCAGGAGAAUGGUGAGAAAGGAGAAUUCCAUAAAUUAGCUGAUGCCAAGAUAUUUCUGAGUGACUGCCUAGCAUGUGACAGCUGUGUGACUGCAGAGGAAGGAGCCCAGCUUUCUCAGCAGAAUGCCAAGGACUUCUUCCGAGUCCUGAACCUUAGUAAGAAAUGUGAUACCUCAGAGCACAAAGUGCUGGUCGUGUCUGUGUGUCCUCAGUCUUUGCCUUAUUUCGCUGCUAAAUUGAACCUCAGCGUCACUGACGCAUCCAGACGACUCUGUGGCUUCCUGAAGAGCCUGGGGGUGCACUAUGUGUUUGACAUGGCGAUAGCUGCAGAUUUCAGCAUCCUGGAGAGCCAGAAAGAGUUUGUGCGUCGGUACCAUCAGCACAGUGACGAGCAGCGGGCACUGCCCAUGCUGACCUCCGCCUGCCCUGGCUGGGUCCGAUAUGCCGAGCGGGUGCUGGGCCACCCUGUCACCCCCCACCUGUGCACCGCCAAGUCCCCGCAGCAGGUCAUGGGCUCCUUAGUGAAGGAUUACUUCGCCACACAGCAGAACCUGCCUCCAGAGAAGAUUUUCCAUGCCAUUGUGGCCCCUUGCUAUGACAAGAAGCUGGAGGCUCUUCAGGAGGGAUUCGCCACUGCUUUGCCUGGCACCCGGGGCACCGACUGUGUGCUGACCUCAGGCGAAAUCGCUCAGAUGAUGGAGCAGAGUGACCUCUCGGUGAAGGACGCUGCUGUGGACACUCUGUUCGGAGACGUGCAGGAGGAGGUGGUGAGGCGCCACGAGGGUGCUGGCUCGGAUGGGCACCUGGCACACGUCUUCCGACAUGCAGCGAAGGAGCUGUUCAACGAGCAUGUGGAGGAGAUCACCUACUGUUCCCUGAGGAACAAAGACUUCCAGGAGGUCACCCUUGAAAAGAAUGGAGAGGUUUUGUUGCGCUUUGCUGCUGCCUAUGGGUUUCGGAACGUCCAGAAUUUGGUCCUGAAGCUCAGGAAGGGCAAGUUCCCAUACCACUUUGUGGAGGUCCUGGCGUGUCCUGGUGGGUGCUUAAACGGCAGGGGCCAAGCGCAGACCAAGGACGGACACACAGACAAGUCCCUGUUGCGCCAGAUGGAGGGCAUCUAUGCAGACAUCCCCGUGCGACCUCCUGAGUCUAGCGCUCACGUGCAGGAGCUAUACCAGGAGUGGCUGGAGGGCACCGACUCCCUCAGAGCCCAGGAGACCCUGCACACCUCCUAUCAGAGCCCGGAGCGCUGCACAGCCAGCCUGGACAUGAAGUGGUGACCCGGACCCGGUGGACAGGGCCGGCUUGUGCAGGGCAAGGGCCAUGCCGACUGACCAGGAGCUGGCCCUUCUGGAAACUGGGCCGCUCUGGUUUCCUUCUCAGCUCCCAACCGCAGCAUCUGUGGUGCUAUCUUCAUCUUGCAGAGAAUGGAGUGGAGCAAGCCCGGCAAAGUCCAAGCUGGGCAGCCCCUUGUGUCCCCACGGAAGCAUCAAGGAGCUGUCCUGCCUGCUGCAGCUGACGGCCACCAGGCUGCAGCGGUGACGUGCAGGCCCAAGGUAGUGGGGAGAGACUUCCUCCACUCUAUCCCACAGACAGGGCCUGCUCAGGGCAGCUCACAGCAGGGGGAUAGGGAUGGUGUCGGCAGCCGGGGCAGAAGUGGGUGGACGAGCCUGGGUUCCCGUCCCCAUCGCACCUGGGCUGCCCUCCUGAUGCCACCACCCCUGUUGCUCAGUGCCUGUGGUCUAGCGGGCAGAGCUGGGAUGCGCCACACGCAUGCUGGCCUGAGAGCUGGGACUCCCGCACCCUUCCUGAGUGAAGGCCAGCAGUCUUGCACUAUUGCCACUGCUUCCGUUUGGCGCCAGCUUGGGGCCAGGCAGGGCAAACUCUUAGGUGGUGGCCGCCUGGUGGUGGCCGCCUGGAGGGUGUCCUGUGGUCUCAGAUGUGUGCGUGGUCAGGUGGUCCUCACUUGGCUACAGAAUGGGCUAGCACUUGUAAUUCCACGCUGCCUCUGCACACAACAUUUAGGUUUUUUCCUAAUCUCACCAUUUGUCAAAGCAAGUAACACUCCAUUUCGAUGUUCAAGAAUUGAGAUUCUAGGGCUGGGGAUUUAGUUCAGUGGUUCCAGCACCUGCCUCACAAGCACAAAGACC
Molecule: RNA transcript, 2813 nt
Organism: Fukomys damarensis (Damara mole-rat)
Lineage: Eukaryota; Metazoa; Chordata; Mammalia; Rodentia; Bathyergidae
Gene: Narf
Gene name: nuclear prelamin A recognition factor
Exons: 12
Source: RefSeq, a predicted model, not a curated record